Picea glauca (white spruce) is the source of this 121-nucleotide non-coding RNA. NCBI's taxonomy places the organism in Eukaryota, Viridiplantae, Streptophyta, Pinopsida, Pinales, Pinaceae. The record is from Rfam.
GUACAUGCCUACAUCAUCACUUUAAUGCAUCAGAUCCCAUUAGAACUUCACAGUUAAGUGUGCUCGAGCUAUAGUAGUACUAGGAUGGGUGACCUCCCAGGAAGUCCUAGUGUUUUAUAUG